This 337-nucleotide unclassified non-coding RNA is filed under the name soil metagenome. Its description in RNAcentral is "partial contains 5.8S ribosomal RNA, internal transcribed spacer 2, and large subunit ribosomal RNA". The stretch from base 1 to 120 matches the Rfam family "5.8S ribosomal RNA", at positions 35 to 154 of the family's 154-position model. The record is from RNAcentral.
GAUGAAGAACGCAGCGAAAUGCGAUAAGUAGUGUGAAUUGCAGAAUUCAGUGAAUCAUCGAAUCUUUGAACGCACAUUGCGCCCCUUGGUAUUCCAUGGGGCAUGCCUGUUCGAGCGUCAUUUGUACCUUCAAGCUCUGCUUGGUGUUGGGUGUUUGUCUCGCCUCUGCGUGUAGACUCGCCUCAAAACAAUUGGCAGCCGGCGUAUUGAUUUCGGAGCGCAGUACAUCCCGCGCUUUGCACUCAUAACGACGACGUCCAAAAGUACAUUUUUACACUCUUGACCUCGGAUCAGGUAGGGAUACCCGCUGAACUUAAGCAUAUCAAUAAGCGGAGGA